AGACCCGAAACCCGGUGAUCUAGCCAUGGGCAGGUUGAAGGUUGGGUAACACUAACUGGAGGACCGAACCGACUAAUGUUGAAAAAUUAGCGGAUGACCUGUGGCUGGGGGUGAAAGGCCAAUCAAACCGGGAGAUAGCUGGUUCUCCCCGAAAGCUAUUUAGGUAGCGCCUCGUGAACUCAUCUCCGGGGGUAGAGCACUGUUUCGGCUAGGGGGCCAUCCCGGCUUACCAACCCGAUGCAAACUGCGAAUACCGGAGAAUGUUAUCACGGGAGACACACGGCGGGUGCUAACGUCCGUCGUGAAGAGGGAAACAACCCAGACCGCCAGCUAAGGUCCCAAAGUCAUGGUUAAGUGGGAAACGAUGUGGGAAGGCCCAGACAGCCAGGAUGUUGGCUUAGAAGCAGCCAUCAUUUAAAGAAAGCGUAAUAGCUCACUGGUCGAGUCGGCCUGCGCGGAAGAUGUAACGGGGCUAAACCAUGCACCGAAGCUGCGGCAG
Molecule: ribosomal RNA, 499 nt
Filed under: Salmonella enterica subsp. diarizonae
Lineage: Bacteria; Pseudomonadati; Pseudomonadota; Gammaproteobacteria; Enterobacterales; Enterobacteriaceae
Description: partial 23S ribosomal RNA
Rfam family: Bacterial large subunit ribosomal RNA
Source: RNAcentral